Molecule: ribosomal RNA, 393 nt
Filed under: uncultured bacterium
Lineage: Bacteria
Description: partial 16S ribosomal RNA
Rfam family: Bacterial small subunit ribosomal RNA
Source: RNAcentral
AUACGGAGGAUGCAAGCGUUAUCCGGAUUUAUUGGGUUUAAAGGGUGCGCAGGCGGUUUGCUAAGCGGGAGGUGAAAUGCCGGCGCUCAACGUCGGAAGUGCCUCCCGAACUGGUGGACUUGAAUGACUCUGCCGUGGGAGGAAUGUGUAGUGUAGCGGUGAAAUGCUUAGAGAUUACACAGAACACCGAUUGCGAAGGCAUCUCACGAAGGGUUGAUUGACGCUGAGGCACGAAAGCGUGGGGAUCAAACAGGAUUAGAUACCCUGGUAGUCCACGCAGUAAACGAUGAUGGCUAACCGCUGGAUCCAUCGGUUCAGUGGCCAAGCGAAAGCGAUAAGCCAUCCACCUGGGGAGUACGACCGCAAGGUUGAAACUCAAAGGAAUUGGCGGGG